GAUGAACGCUGGCGGCGUGCCUAAUACAUGCAAGUCGAGCGAACGGACGAGAAGCUUGCUUCUCUGAUGUUAGCGGCGGACGGGUGAGUAACACGUGGAUAACCUACCUAUAAGACUGGGAUAACUUCGGGAAACCGGAGCUAAUACCGGAUGAUAUUUUGAACCGCAUGGUUCAAAAGUGAAAGACGGUCUUGCUGUCACUUAUAGAUGGUUCCGCGCUGCAUUAGCUAGUUGGUAAGGUAACGGCUUACCAAGGCAACGAUGCAUAGCCGACCUGAGAGGGUGGUCGGCCACACUGGAACUGAGACACGGUCCAGACUCCUACGGGAGGCAGCAGUAGGGAAUCUUCCGCAAUGGGCGAAAGCCUGACGGAGCAACGCCGCGUGAGUGAUGAAGGUCUUCGGAUCGUAAAACUCUGUUAUUAGGGAAGAACAUAUGUGUAAGUAACUGUGCACAUCUUGACGGUACCUAAUCAGAAAGCCACGGCUAACUACGUG
Molecule: ribosomal RNA, 497 nt
Filed under: uncultured bacterium
Lineage: Bacteria
Description: partial 16S ribosomal RNA
Rfam family: Bacterial small subunit ribosomal RNA
Source: RNAcentral